RNAcentral lists this ribosomal RNA (301 nucleotides) under uncultured bacterium. Its description in RNAcentral is "partial 16S ribosomal RNA". It matches the Rfam family "Bacterial small subunit ribosomal RNA", at positions 509 to 807 of the family's 1533-position model. The record is from RNAcentral.
CAGCCGCCACGGGAAUACAGAGGGUGCGAGCGUUAAUCGGAUUUAAUGGGCGUAAAGCGUGCGUAGGCGGCUUUUUAAGUCGGAUGUGAAAUCCCUGAGCUUAACUUAGGAAUUGCAUUCGAUACUGGGAAGCUAGAGUAUGGGAGAGGAUGGUAGAAUUCCAGGUGUAGCGGUGAAAUGCGUAGAGAUCUGGAGGAAUACCGAUGGCGAAGGCAGCCAUCUGGCCUAAUACUGACGCUGAGGUACGAAAGCAUGGGGAGCAAACAGGAUUAGAUACCCCUGUAGUCCCUGUCUCUUAUAC